UUUACUCUCCGCUAACCCUAAACCUUUCAAUUUCAAUUUUCAAACAAUCUCUCCUCUCACUACUCAGAGCCACCCGUCGUCCCCCUCGCCCCCCGCCCUCUCCGGCCUCCGCUAAGGCCAUCGCCGUACCAGAGCACCCGCAACCCGUCUCCUCUCGCCUCUUCCUCUCCACUCUCCUUUGACUAAGAAAACAUAAACACAGAUCGACCAUUGACAUUUCCUCGGUCUCAACUGGACCAAAAUAGUCUGUGUUUCCAUCAUACCGACGUUUCCUCAACCUCUCAAAACCAGUGAGUUUUAAAUUUUUUUUCUCAUUUCUAAUUAAUUAAUUAAUUAAUUUGGUUAAGGUUAUUGUUAUUUUUAAUACAGUUAAGCUUAUUGUUUAUACGUUUCUUCCUCAGUCUCCACUGGAUCAACACUGUCGGUGACUCGGUGUUUCCAUCAGACCGACGUUUCCUGAUUUCCUCAGCCUCUCAAAACCAGUGAGUUUUAUUUUUUUUUUUCUCCUUUCUAAUUAAUUCAUACAGUUAAGCUUAUUGUUAUUUUUAAUCAAUUUUGUUGGGUGAUGAAUUUUGGUUUAGGUUUAAAUUAGAAUUUAGAGCUAUUUGGGUGAUUAAAGCGAUUUUUUUUUUCCUUUGUUUGAAUAGAAGAGAUUUAGCAGUUUAGGAUUAUGAUUAUUUUUAAUCAAAAUUGUCGUUCUUACUUCUUACAAUUGUUUGCAGUUUAGGAUUAGAGUUGUCUUGUACAUGUAAUUUCAUAAUCUUACAUGUAAUUUUGCAGUUUAUUUUGUUGUUUUGUAAAUGUAAUUUCAAUAUCUGCUACUGUAAACUUGUGUUGCUUCUGUUGUUGUUGUUGUGUUGAUUCUGUUGUUAUAGCCUGUUGCUGUGUUGAUUUUGUUGCUUUGUUGGUUGAUUACUAAAAACAGAUGAAUUGUUGAUUUUGUUGCUGUGUUGGUUGAUUUAUAAGGUCACACCAAGUAGUUUGAUUAAAAUUAUGUUUAUAAGCCUGUGUUGAUUGACUUGAUUCUGCAAACUAGUUUUGUUUUGAUGGGUUUUUUUUAUUCGGUUUUGUUUUGUCAUUCUGUAAAAUGUAUUCAUUAUUCUGUUUUGGAUGAUCUUGAUUGGCAUUUUGUAUUCAUUAAAAUCAUGUUAUUCUUGUAUUCAUUGUUCUGUUACUUCUAUAAUUAUUUUUCCUCAUUGAUAGAUUUUCUAAGCUUGUUUUGACACAUUUUCUAAGCUUAUUUUAACAUGUUACUUCUGUAAUAUUUGUUUCAUUUUAAUUUUUAAACAUGAUUUUAAUCUUUAUGUUUAUUAAGUGCUGAAAAGAAUUGUGCAAGUGAUAAUGAACAUAUUUGCAUUUGGUAAUUACAUAUGGAAAAUCUUCAAAAUCAAAAUGCUUCAUCCACUGGCACUAUCCUAACAUCAACCAAUGCCCCAACUUCAAACACUAACCCAACACCAACUACUGCAGUAUCCACCACGGAAAAUAAAGGUAAACAACUUCAAGUCCUUGCAUCUAGAAAAAGAAAUGUUAAUGAUAAAAAAAAAGUCAUAAAUUUGGGAUCAUUUUACAAAACUUGAUGGUGAUCCUACAACCCCUAGAGCUGAAUGUAAUUAUUGUGAAAAGGAUUAUGCAUGUCAUACUAUUAUUAAUGGGACAAGUAAUAUGUGGAGUCAUUUGAAAGUAUGCAAAAAGUUUCAUUUUGUGGUUGAUAAGAAGCAAAACAAUUUGGUAUUAGAACCUAAUAAAGCAGGGGGUGAAUUAGGAGAUCGAAGUGUGGGAACUCUUAAGGCAAUAGGUUAUGAUUAUGAUGAAUGCAGAAAGGCACUAGUGAAAAUGGUUAUAAUUGAUGAGUUGCCUUUUAAUUUUGUGGAGGGUAAGGAAUUUAGAUUAUUUUCUAGGACCUUGCAGCCUAGAUUUGACAUUCCUUCUCGUUUCACUGUUAUGAGAGAUUGUUUGAAACUUUAUGUUGAAGAGAAGGAAAGAUUAAAGAGAGCUCUUAAAGGUCAACGAUUAUGUUUAACAACAGAUACAUGAACAUCAAUCCAAAACAUUAACUAUAUGUCCUUAACGGCCCAUUGGAUUGAUAAUGAAUGGAAUUUGCAUAAAAGAAUUCUGAAUUUUUGUCAAGUUUCCAAUCAUGUGGGUGAGACAAUUGGUCAAGUUAUUGAGAAUUGUUUGUUAGAUUGGGGGAUUGAUAAACUUUUAACUAUUACAGUAGACAAUGCAAGCUCUAAUAGUGUUACUAUUUCAUAUUUAAAGAAUGUGAUGAAAGAUUGGUCAACUAAUAUAUUGUCAAAUGAACAUUUGCAUGUUAGAUGUUGUGCACACAUUGUAAACCUCAUUGUAUGUGAUGGUUUGAAAGAGAUGAAUGUUUCGGUUGUUAAGAUUCGAAAUGCAAUUUGGUUUGUGAGAUCUUCACCCUCUAGGCUACUUGCAUUUAAGAAAUGUGCAGAAAAGUUGCAUAUCAAGUGUAAGAAAUCAUUGUGUUUGGAUGUUGCAACUCGAUGUAAUUCAACUUAUCUUAUGUUAGAAGCUGCUGAAAAGUUUGAAAAGGUGUUUGUAAGGUUAGGUCAAAGUGAACCUAGGUAUGUGAAUUACUUUUUGGAGGUUGAUUCAAAGGGGAAUAAAAAAAACAUAGGGCCACCUAGUUUGGAGGAUUGGGAAAAUGCUAGAACUAGGUGUUCCUCUGCUACUUCCUCCAUUGUAAAGCCUUGCUUCUCUUCCACAAACCUUUCAACUAUCCAUAGCCGGAUCAACUUCAUUCUUUUUAUCAAAUAAUCCUCUGGAAAAACACUUAAAUACAAAUAACACUGUUUGAGGUAGUAAGGAAGAUUAUCGUAACUUAGUUGAAGUAUUCUACGUAGACUCCCAAGGUCGUCGUUACUUUUCAAUUCUGUAGCUAGGCAGUCAUGGACUUUCUUCCAUUCCAAACCUCCGUUUUUCUUCUUCGACAGUAGGCCUCCUAUUGCUACAAUUGCAAGUGGCAGUCCCUCACACUUCUUUAAGAUAUUUCGAGACAUCUCUUCCAGUUCUGGAGGGCAUACAGCCUUAUGUUCCCCUCUGAAGGCUUUCAUACAAAAGAGGGUCCAAGCUUCAUUUUCUAAUAAAGCUUGGAGUUCAUAAACAUGACUAGUGUUCUCUAUAGAUUCAGCCAAGUUACUUAAACGUGUAGUGAAGAUAAUUCUACUACCACAGUUACAAUCAGGAAAUGCAUACUUUAUUGUUUCCCAAGCGUUUACAUUCCAUACAUCAUCCAAAACAAUGACAUACCUCCUUCUCCAUAGAUAAUUUCUUAGAGCAUCAAUUAAUUGGAAGUCAGUCAUUGAUUGCAAAUUAUCCGGAACAGGUUCGUUUGCUGUCACCAGAAACCCCUGCAGAGCAACUCGUAGGAGCUCCGUGGAUGCAAACGAUUUGGAAACUGUAACCCAAGAAUGGGUAUCAAAGCUUCUUCUGAUGGGGUGGCUGUCAUAGACUUUCUUUACGAG
This 3488-nucleotide long non-coding RNA is filed under the name Populus trichocarpa (black cottonwood). Its description in RNAcentral is "long non-coding RNA (PTRI_LNC001381)". Lineage: Eukaryota; Viridiplantae; Streptophyta; Magnoliopsida; Malpighiales; Salicaceae. The record is from RNAcentral.